ACACGUAUGUGUGCGCCCAUGCAUGUUUUUGUGUGGGUGUGUGCACGCGUGCGUCUGUGCAUUGUGCAGUGUGCGUUGGGUGCACACGUGCAUGCGUGUGCCUUGUGUUGUGCGUGUGUGUGUGUGUGUGUGCGCGCGCGCGCGUGCCUGACCGCGGCGUGCGUGCCGGCGGGAGGAGGGGGCGCCGAGGCCGGGCAAGGGAUUUAAAGCUGCUUUCGCGGCUGCCGGCGUGAGCGCUCCUGAUAAACAGCCCGGAGCCGAGCCGCCGCGCAGCCGGGCGGGAGGCUGCGUAUCAGAGCUCCUGGCAGGCUCGCAAAAAGCUGUCCCCGGCCCGCCGCCGCUCUAUCAGCCCACGGAGGGAGGGCGGCGGGGGAGGGAGGGAAAAAGUAUUUGCUUCAGCCCUUAAUCACGGAAUUUGAAAUCCCAGCGAGUCGGUGCCAUUUAUUUUCAGAGGCUGUCAAGGCUGGUUUCAGCAUUUAAAAGAAAGGAGGAUAAAAAGCAUUUGCAUUUCUCCCCCACUCUCGCUGCGCGCUCGCCGGCGCUCCCCCUCGUUCUCUGCGCAGCUCGCCGGUCGGGCUUUGGCGGGGGAGGCCGGAGGCUUUUCAAGGUGCUGGGGGCUCCGGCCGGCCCGGUGGGGGCCUGCCCCCACCAGGGUCGGGGUGUCGGACGAUUCCAGGGUGGGGGCCCGAGUCUGGUCCAGCGGUGCUCUGGGUGGCAGAGGGAGGAAGGUUAAGGGGGGCUGCUGGCUUGGGGAAGUUGGGGGCCGUCCGCGGGGGCUCUCCUCGAGCUCCAAGCUUUCACCCCAGAAAACAGCCCUGGACCCCAAAUUUGCUCCAGCCCCAGGGGGCCCUACCUGCCCUUCCUGGCUUCCCCAGUGGAAAUCUAAGAUACUGGAGGCUUCCAGGGGAGCCAGGGCACCCCUAGGACAACCCCCUCCCCCAGCAGAUGGGGAAACUGAGGCCUGGAAAGAGAGAACAGUGGGGCCAAGGUCACAUGAUGGCGGAAGGAGGACAAGGAGGGAGGCUGACUGCGUAGCCAGCAUGUGUUCCAUGCCAAGCCUGUGCGGGGGGCCAAGGACCGGGAUCUCUGGACGGCGCUGCUUGCUCGGUCCCACGCUGGGCGACAGGGCCUUUGCAGUCAGGCCGACAGGGUUUGAACCCUUGCCACGGCACUUUCCAGAUGGCCUUGGCCACUGUCCCCUCUCUGACCUUGAGAUGGAGCCCACCGCACCUGCGGAGAGGGUGUGUGCUUCAAGGACCAAAUCCACUUGUGUAUGGUUUGGGGAGUCGCACUGA
Molecule: long non-coding RNA, 1295 nt
Filed under: Macaca mulatta (Rhesus monkey)
Lineage: Eukaryota; Metazoa; Chordata; Mammalia; Primates; Cercopithecidae
Description: lncRNA (ENSMMUG00000055560.1)
Source: RNAcentral